GUAAGGAAUAUUGGUCAAUGGACGCAAGUCUGAACCAGCCAUGCCGCGUGAAGGAUGAAGGUCCUCUGGAUUGUAAACUUCUUUUGAAUGGGACGAAACCUCUUUUUCUAAAGAGACUGACGGUACCAUUAGAAUAAGCACCGGCUAACUCCGUGCCAGCAGCCGCGGUAAUACGGAGGGUGCAAGCGUUAUCCGGAUUCACUGGGUUUAAAGGGAGCGUAGGAGGGCAGGUAAGUCAGUGGUGAAAUCUUCGAGCUUAACUCGGAAACUGCCGUUGAUACUAUCUGUCUUGAAUACCGUGGAGAUGAGCGGAAUAUGUCAUGUAGCGGUGAAAUGCUUAGAUAUGACAUAGAACACCAAUUGCGAAGGCAGCUCGUUACACGAAUAUUGACUCUGAGGCUCGAAAGCGUGGGGAUCAAACAGGAUUAGAUACCCCAGUAGUCC
Molecule: ribosomal RNA, 444 nt
Filed under: uncultured bacterium
Lineage: Bacteria
Description: bacterial SSU rRNA
Rfam family: Bacterial small subunit ribosomal RNA
Source: RNAcentral